GGCACCAUCGUCUAGUGGUUUAGGAUACAGCUUUUGUAAUGCUGUGACGACGGUUCGAUUCCGUCUGGUGCCU
This 73-nucleotide transfer RNA is filed under the name bacterium. Its description in RNAcentral is "tRNA-Thr". It matches the Rfam family "tRNA". From Rfam's summary of the family: Transfer RNA (tRNA) molecules are approximately 80 nucleotides in length. Their secondary structure includes four short double-helical elements and three loops (D, anti-codon, and T loops). The record is from RNAcentral.